RNAcentral lists this ribosomal RNA (1512 nucleotides) under Staphylococcus haemolyticus. RNAcentral's name for it is "bacterial SSU rRNA". It matches the Rfam family "Bacterial small subunit ribosomal RNA". Lineage: Bacteria; Bacillati; Bacillota; Bacilli; Caryophanales; Staphylococcaceae. The record is from RNAcentral.
AGAGUUUGAUCCUGGCUCAGGAUGAACGCUGGCGGCGUGCCUAAUACAUGCAAGUCGAGCGAACAGACAAGGAGCUUGCUCCUUUGACGUUAGCGGCGGACGGGUGAGUAACACGUGGGUAACCUACCUAUAAGACUGGGAUAACUUCGGGAAACCGGAGCUAAUACCGGAUAAUAUUUCGAACCGCAUGGUUCGAUAGUGAAAGAUGGUUUUGCUAUCACUUAUAGAUGGACCCGCGCCGUAUUAGCUAGUUGGUAAGGUAACGGCUUACCAAGGCGACGAUACGUAGCCGACCUGAGAGGGUGAUCGGCCACACUGGAACUGAGACACGGUCCAGACUCCUACGGGAGGCAGCAGUAGGGAAUCUUCCGCAAUGGGCGAAAGCCUGACGGAGCAACGCCGCGUGAGUGAUGAAGGUCUUCGGAUCGUAAAACUCUGUUAUUAGGGAAGAACAUACGUGUAAGUAACUAUGCACGUCUUGACGGUACCUAAUCAGAAAGCCACGGCUAACUACGUGCCAGCAGCCGCGGUAAUACGUAGGUGGCAAGCGUUAUCCGGAAUUAUUGGGCGUAAAGCGCGCGUAGGCGGUUUUUUAAGUCUGAUGUGAAAGCCCACGGCUCAACCGUGGAGGGUCAUUGGAAACUGGAAAACUUGAGUGCAGAAGAGGAAAGUGGAAUUCCAUGUGUAGCGGUGAAAUGCGCAGAGAUAUGGAGGAACACCAGUGGCGAAGGCGACUUUCUGGUCUGUAACUGACGCUGAUGUGCGAAAGCGUGGGGAUCAAACAGGAUUAGAUACCCUGGUAGUCCACGCCGUAAACGAUGAGUGCUAAGUGUUAGGGGGUUUCCGCCCCUUAGUGCUGCAGCUAACGCAUUAAGCACUCCGCCUGGGGAGUACGACCGCAAGGUUGAAACUCAAAGGAAUUGACGGGGACCCGCACAAGCGGUGGAGCAUGUGGUUUAAUUCGAAGCAACGCGAAGAACCUUACCAAAUCUUGACAUCCUUUGACAACUCUAGAGAUAGAGCCUUCCCCUUCGGGGGACAAAGUGACAGGUGGUGCAUGGUUGUCGUCAGCUCGUGUCGUGAGAUGUUGGGUUAAGUCCCGCAACGAGCGCAACCCUUAAGCUUAGUUGCCAUCAUUAAGUUGGGCACUCUAAGUUGACUGCCGGUGACAAACCGGAGGAAGGUGGGGAUGACGUCAAAUCAUCAUGCCCCUUAUGAUUUGGGCUACACACGUGCUACAAUGGACAAUACAAAGGGCAGCGAAACCGCGAGGUCAAGCAAAUCCCAUAAAGUUGUUCUCAGUUCGGAUUGUAGUCUGCAACUCGACUACAUGAAGCUGGAAUCGCUAGUAAUCGUAGAUCAGCAUGCUACGGUGAAUACGUUCCCGGGUCUUGUACACACCGCCCGUCACACCACGAGAGUUUGUAACACCCGAAGCCGGUGGAGUAACCAUUUGGAGCUAGCCGUCGAAGGUGGGACAAAUGAUUGGGGUGAAGUCGUAACAAGGUAGCC